UAUAUGUUCCCUUCAAGCACGUAAACGAAGGUGGCCUUCAGAUCAUGAGCAGAUCAUUUCUGUGCAGGACUGUUGACUCUUUCUUCUCUUGUUCGUGAAGAAUCCUCUGGAGUGGUCCCUUGUUUGAGGGAGAAAAGCAAGCAUAUCAGACACUCGGAAGAAAACAACUCCCAGCUGAAACUAAGAAAACCUUGUUUUAAGACCUAGUGUGAACUGUGAGGCAGACGAGCUGAAUACCCUCCAGAGAGAUCUGCGCAAUCCCGUGUACUCAGGUUAUCCCCGUUCUUAAAACUGACCACUGCAUGGCACUGUUGCACCAGUGUCGCUGCAGCACCAGCCGAGAGUGCAGGAAAGCAUCUCUAGUUCUUCCACUCGGUGUCUACAGCCCCCUGCUGUAUGAACAGCUCAGAACAGGGCACGUACUGCAAUGUGGGAGCAGGUCCUACCUCUUCCCAUCCUCUUUUCCUCCACCCAAAACCUGGUAAGAGCAUCGUGUUCGACGUGAUGGGAUUUGAAAACUUGGAUAAGAAGUACUUCACAGACUGUCCUUGAAGCUUGCCAUCACAUGGAUGUGCCACAACUCAUUCUUCUGGGCCGGGGCUAGUGUGUAUGAUUAUUCUUUCACAUACAGACAUGUCCUUCCACUGAAGAGAAUGCCUUGACAAAAACAAAGACUGAAGCUAUAAAACUAAUGUGCAACAUCUGGAUGACUGAAUUGUUCCAGUUAAUGAGAUUCAGAGUUUCAUCACAAAUAAAAACCUCCAGCUUUUUCUGGAUCUCCUCAAGGGAGAGCUCUUUCUUCUUUGGAGAGGCUAAAGUUCGUGGUGCUUCCGAGACUGGGGAUGGUGGCUUUAGGAUCAGUUCAAAAGCCUGGCCCGAGGCACGUUUGUUGAUUUGUUUAACUUCCAUGUCUGCACAAUAAAGUGAGAAGCGGUAAGCACUUCAAUACUGUGGUGGUGUUAAGGAGAGAAGCAGUACAAAAAUUAGUGUAGGAUCAGAAAUACAGACAAAUGAUUUAGCAUCUUUGCUGUGGGCAUUUCAAAGAAAAUGGCAGAUUAUGGGCUGAAAAUUGUCCUUGGGAGAAGUACAUCCCAUUUUACCUGCAAUAGUUUAUUUAUACACGAACCCUAUGAAGAUAAAAAUUUACAGCAGUUUUGGAAGCUUACUGGGGUUCUGUGUCAUUUCACACUCCCAGCAAGCGCUGCCCAAACUGAUUAAAUUUUAAGCAUGCUUUCAUCUUUUCUGGGUUUCUUUGGGAACUAUGAUGUCAGCUGCGAAGACGUAAUUCUCACAUGGGAAGCACUUCUCAAGGUACUAGGAAAAAUACAGCACCAUAUGAAAGAUACAGCUUUAGGAGUUUAGCCAGUUGCUAUUAGAAAAAAUAUCAAGCAUCAUGAGUAAUAAUACACAGUCAAUGAGGCAAUAGCCCAAAUCAGCAAAAGAAGUGGUUAAAUAAGCAAAAUAUUCUCUGUCUAACAUUAGGUACCAGGAUGGUGAACUGAGUCACGUCCCAACAUUAGCACUUUAUCUGACCUGCAGGUGAAAGUUACUCACCAUCAUAUUUAUAGAUGUUCAUGUUGCGAGGUUCAGGAUAAAAACAGGAGCAGAUCAGAGAGAGCAUGGACAGCUCCUUCAUCUUUUCCUUGUAAGCUGAAACAAGAGAACUUGUUAGCAAACUCCCCUUCUUCAGCUUCUCCUUAGUGAAUCUCUAACUGCGAUGACUGACCAUGGACCAGCAAAUCUGCUUCAUAACCCACCUGGCAGAUUUAUCCAGAAUAUUUAUUUUGUUUCUUCUGAACAUGGAGUCUUUAUCACAUCAAAUAUGAGAUGUUCGGUACUGAAUAAACUGCUUCUGUUGUCAUGCAUGACCUCAGCCUUGGCUCAAAUGUAUACAGUCCUCUUUCAGUAAAAGAAAGUGAAUCUAGCUACCAGGAAAUGUAUUUAGCAUUGGAAGAGUGCCAUGAUCCCACUAUCUCCUGGCAGGUGGAAAUAAAUGAAGCUCUUACAAAUUUCCAUGACGUCUCCAAAUGCAAUUGGGAACAGCUCUGAAACAUUGCCCAUGUGUUGCCAUAGGCAGAUGCUAAACUCAUUAUCUGCAACAAAUGAAAAUGUCAUCCAGAUAAUUAAAAAUAUAGCCAGAAAUGAGGAUCCAUUUAUAAAAUCCUUAGCAUAAUGUCCUUAAUAUGAGAAAGUACUUGAAACAAAGAAGUAUUUCCCUGUUCAAUUCCUGUACAGUCACUUUGCUUCCAUAUUCAGGCCUACUGAAUAUCAGCUGAUGCAAUAAACACACUUCCAAUUUAC
Centrocercus urophasianus (Greater sage-grouse) is the source of this 2301-nucleotide long non-coding RNA. RefSeq lists it as uncharacterized. The record is from RefSeq and is a predicted model, not a curated record. NCBI's taxonomy places the organism in Eukaryota, Metazoa, Chordata, Aves, Galliformes, Phasianidae. The transcript is spliced from 4 exons.